RNAcentral lists this ribosomal RNA (253 nucleotides) under uncultured bacterium. RNAcentral describes it as "partial 16S ribosomal RNA". It matches the Rfam family "Bacterial small subunit ribosomal RNA", at positions 524 to 776 of the family's 1533-position model. The record is from RNAcentral.
UACGUAGGGUGCGAGCGUUAAUCGGAAUUACUGGGCGUAAAGCGUGCGCAGGCGGUUUGGUAAGACAGAUGUGAAAUCCCCGGGCUUAACCUGGGAAUUGCAUUUGUGACUGCCCGGCUAGAGUGUGUCAGAGGGGGGUAGAAUUCCACGUGUAGCAGUGAAAUGCGUAGAUAUGUGGAGGAAUACCGAUGGCGAAGGCGGCAUCCUGGACCGGCAUUGACGCUGAGGCGCGAAAGCCAGGGGAGCAAACGGG